CUCGCUAGGGUAAAUUGCAAUUCAUUUUAUGAAAGUGUUGAAAUGUUUUCCUUUAGAUCUCGGAAUCAUAACCCUCUGAUUGUUGACAGAUUGAGUGAAUAAAGCUGUGAUUAAGACACUGGACAGUAAUAUUCUGGUUCUAUCCGCUGUUGUCUGACCACGGUAUAAACGAAAAAUUUGGCUCCUUAAAAUCUAACGAUUUGGAUUAGCAUGACAUUUGCAUGACACAUUGAUUCUCGAGCAUAUUGGAACAAUAAUAGGAACAAGAUUGGCAGUAAACUUACCUGAAGCUUUGGGAACAAGUUUAUUCCAAUGGAGGCCAGAAAACCAACGAAACAAAAAGAUGGAACCACAAAAUUAUCGGACAAAGUUUCACCUGAAAUGUUUCUAAAGUUGAUUAUUGUUGGUUGCUUUUGUCCGUGAAAUCGCCAAACAAUGCAAACUUAAUUUCGUUCAGAAAUUUGCAAAGUCAAACUCAAUUGGAUCAAGAAGUUAUCAAAUUAUCAGAUGGACAGUACUCUUGGACAUAACAUUAGUAAAUUUUAAAACAAAAUUAUAAUCAAAUAAGCAGAUGGUAUUGUAAAGAGAUGUUAGACUUGAAUGGGAAAUUUGGCUUCUAACAACAGUUUGUUCAAGUUACAAAGUCAAGUUUAGCUGUUGAGUGAUUCUGAAUAAUGAACAAAAUUUAAGAAUUUUGAACAACCCUAUAUACCGAGUAUACGUAUUUAUAUAAAUUUAUGAGUAUAUUUUAUAAAUAUAUAGUUAGUUAGCAAUAAGAUGACAGUCGCUUUUCAUUCAACCUUUUUUUCAGUUUCAAGUGAGGGUUAGGAGCAUGUCAAGAUGCUGAAGAGAUUAUGAUUUCUUUGUAAAAAUAAUGAAAAUAUUUCAUCAAAAAAUAGUUGAACUUUCUUCUCAAGCAUUUCCCUGAUUCCCUUUCUGUCAUCUCUCACCAAAUUUUAAACCUUUUCAAAUUGUCGGCCCACUCGUUGAGAAUCCACUGGUUUAAUAAGAUGCAUAUAUUCAUAGGGAAACUAAUGUCACCCAUUCCAUUCUCAUGAGUUUUGUAUCUUCUCAGGAUGUUCAGUUGAUGGUCAUCAUUAUCAUCAUAACUUUGUAAAUGUUGAUCAGCUCGAUGAUUCCGCCUACAACAUUGACACAUUAUUACAAUAAGAAAAGCAGUUAUCACUCUUUCACUCUACAAACUGAUUGUUAUUUAACAGAACUUGUUAACUUUGGAAAAAUGUUUCAUUUGUUAUUAUUGAUACAUUAAGUUUCUUUUUCUCAUGUUUAUCAUAAUGAUAAUUUUUGAUUCUUAUACUUGGUCAACUGUUGACUAUGAACUGCGAUCAAUGAACUUUAUUCAACAUUCAAUGUGUCCAGCAUUAUGCUUUCAUUGAAUUCAUUUUUUGUAAUAAAUUUAAUACAUUUUUU
Long non-coding RNA from Tetranychus urticae (two-spotted spider mite), 1431 nucleotides. RefSeq lists it as uncharacterized. The record is from RefSeq and is a predicted model, not a curated record. Lineage: Eukaryota; Metazoa; Arthropoda; Arachnida; Trombidiformes; Tetranychidae.